Molecule: transfer-messenger RNA, 360 nt
Filed under: Gallaecimonas pentaromativorans
Lineage: Bacteria; Pseudomonadati; Pseudomonadota; Gammaproteobacteria; Enterobacterales; Gallaecimonadaceae
Also listed under: 2 other names
Description: Standard tmRNA
Rfam family: transfer-messenger RNA
About the family: Bacterial tmRNA, also known as 10Sa RNA or SsrA, is named for its dual tRNA and mRNA-like properties. Its role is to liberate the mRNA from a stalled ribosome.
Source: RNAcentral
GGGGCCGAUCAGGAUUCGACGGGGAUCGCGAAACCCAAGGUGCAUGCCGAGGUGCGGUUGGCCUCGUAAAAAAACCGCAAACUAAUAGUCGCAAACGACGAAAACUACGCACUCGCUGCCUAAUAAGCAGUAGAGAGCCCUUCCCCCUUAGCCCGCCUGUCGGCUUUGGAUCAGGAAGGUCAAACCAGACAGGAUCGCGUGGCGGCUUCGCCUGGAGCCAAGACGUUAAAACCAAUCAGGCUCGCUACCUGACAGCCUGUCGACCGGCGUUCUACGUAGUUAACUAAAAGAUCGACUAAGCAUGUAGUACCGAGGAUGUAGGGUUCACGGACGGGGGUUCAAAUCCCCCCGGCUCCACCA